This 1669-nucleotide unclassified non-coding RNA is filed under the name Hevea brasiliensis (rubber tree). Lineage: Eukaryota; Viridiplantae; Streptophyta; Magnoliopsida; Malpighiales; Euphorbiaceae. The record is from RNAcentral.
GCCUUUCUGAGCCUGUUUGUCACACCAGAAAAUUCUUAAACAAUGUGCAGAACAAGUCUUAUACCAUUACUUCCAAGUUUAAACCAUGUAACCCAAGAGACAAAUAUUUAUAUAAAAUACAUAUAUAUAUAUAGUAGUAUGAACACAUUUAAGUUAUUGAAAAUUCAUAAUAUCUGUGGGAAAUAAAGAAAGAAACUUUCUUUAAUGGUGACAACCAAACAGCUACCAACUAAUCUUUACUCCCUAUACUCUACAAUUUGUGGACCUAAGUACUCUAUCCAAUCCAUCUCUGAAUUCUCUGGCGUCUCAAUCUCUUCCAGCCAUCCAACACAGCCCCCCUCUUCUGUCAACUCCUUUUCUCCAUCUGAAAAGGCAUCAUAAGGAAAAUCUUUGUAGUAUGAACAGUCCCUCCCAUCUUCUUUAGCAUAGGGAGGUCCGAGCACAUCAAGAACUGCGCAUGGUGUACUGGCAGUGAAUUGAUGGAUAUUGCCUCCUGUAGUCGGAUAUAAUACAGACGUGUUGCACGGAGCUGUAAAGACACUGUCCAUUACCAGUCUUGCCAAUCUCACAUGAGAAGGCUGUACAGGCUCCUCUGCACUGGGAGGGCUGACCCAAUCAUAUGAUUUGAUGUGCAUUGUCCCCAGUAGAAGCUUGCUAAAAACAGUCAUCCCUGGAUGGUUAUGGAGGGGGAUGACAGCAGUUGCAGGAAGAAAGAAAAGGCACAACGAAAAUUCAUCGCACUUGUAUAUGGUUGUGGUAGUGACCCUUUGAGUCCCAUUCACAGCAUUUUUAGUCUUAAAAAACGGCAGCUCGCUACUUAGCCCAACAUCUUCUGGCUUCAUAUUGUCAAGUAUAUGGCAUAAUCUCUCCACAUCAUCAGGCAAGGGAACAGUUCCAGGGCCUUUAAACACUUCUCUGCAUGACAUAUACAGCUCCUGCAAUGCCAUGGGAACUUUUGCUUCAGACCGCUUAUUAAUUCUUCUUUUACACCUUUUCUUCUUCAUAAGCCGGUUGGCAUAUCCAACCUUAUGUACGUGCUGGCCAACUGGCACUGGGUCUCUUCUUGGAUUAACCACAGCUUCAAUUGUCAUCGAUAUAACACCGAAAUAUACCUGUGGAUCUUUCACCGAAAAAAUAAAAUAAAAUAAUCUGUGUGUUUGAAGAUGAACUUCUUGCAGACCAAAAAAAAAAAGCCUUCAAAACUGGGUAAGAUUCAAAUCACUCUAUACUUUAAAAAGAAAAUAAACCCACCAAGAAAAAAAAAAUUGCAGGUUUCGUUAGAAAAAAUGCUAUGGAUUUAGAUAUGAGGAGGGUUUUAACCUUAGAUUCAGGAAAUUAACGAAAACCCAACAAACACCACCAAAAACCUUUGAAAAUAAGAAAAAGGGACUAAAAAUAUACAGUAAAGGCUUAAAUUUUGGGCCUGAAACAGAUUGACAAGGUUGGAAACUGGUGAUGGGUACUUGUAAAAGAAGGAGAAGUGGUGAUGAGAAGAUAAGGAGGUGCAGAAGAAGUGAAAUUUGCAAGAGGUGGAAGUGGAAAGUGCAGAUGAAACGGUACACGGUAUUGUACAUUAUAUAAGAAAUGGCAAAACCAGGGGCCAAUUGACAGGAAUAGCUUUGGGUUUGAAACUAAGAAAACAACCUCUAAAAGGAACAGAGAAGAAAUA